GUGAACAACGAAGGGCGCGCGGUGGAUGCCUAGGCUCUCGGAGGCGAUGAAGGACGCGAUAAGCCGCGAUAGGCCACGGCGAGGUGCAAGUAACCCUUGACCCGUGGAUUUCCGAAUGGGGCAACCCGGCCGUCUAGAUGACGGUCAUGCAUUAAUGCAGGCGAACGCGGGGAACUGAAACAUCUCAUUACCCGCAGGAGAAGAAAACAAAAUGUGAUUCCCCCAGUAGUGGCGAGCGAACGGGGAAGAGCCCAAACCGUUGCCGUUUCGGCGACAGCGGGGUCAUGGGACCGCGAUACUCGACGAUGGACGAAGUGCAAUUACCUGGAAAGGUAAGCCGUGGAGGGUGACAGCCCCGUGCACGACACCUCCAUCUAAGAUAGCGGUAUCCCGAGUAGGGCGGGACACGAGAAAUCCUGCCUGAAUUCGCCAGGACCUCCUGGCAAGGCUAAAUACUCCCGAGAGACCGAUAGUGAACCAGUACCGCGAGGGAAAGGUGAAAAGUACCCCGAGCAGGGGGGUGAAAUAGACCCUGAACCCGCGCGCCUACAAGCGGUCGGAGCCAUGAAAUAUGGUGACGGCGUGCCUUUUGCAUAAUGAGCCUACGAGUUAGUCGUCACCAGCGAGGUUAAGGGCUUCAGGCCCGUUAGCCGAAGUGAAAGCGAGCCUUAACAGGGCGUCGAGUUGGUGGCGCUAGACGCGAAACCUUGUGAUCUACCCACGAGCAGGUUGAAGUCGCGGUAACACGUGAUGGAGGACCGAACCGGUAAACGUUGAAAAGUUUUCGGAUGACUCGCGGGUAGGGGUGAAAGGCCAAUCAAACUGGGAAAUAGCUCGUACUCUCCGAAAUGCAUUUCGGUGCAGCCUGUGAUGUUCUGUUCCAGAGGUAGAGCUACUGGUUGGACGCGAGGGCUUCACCGCCUAUCAAAUCCGGAUAAACUCCGAAUGCUGGAACACGAAAUCAUGGAGUGAGCCCGCGGGUGCUAAGGUCCGCGGACGAGAGGGAAAGAACCCGGACCACCGGCUAAGGUCCCGGAUGGACAGUUAAGUUGAUCAAACGAGGUGGGAUCGCUGAGACAGCUAGGAUGUUGGCUUGGAAGCAGCCAUUCAUUUAAAGAGUGCGUAACAGCUCACUAGUCGAGCGAUCCCGCGUGGAUAAUACACGGGCAUCAAACUGUCAACCGAAGCCGUGGGGUUAGUGAUGAGCUAACCGGUAGGAGAGCAUUCCUGCCAGCUUUGAAGGUCACCCGCGAGAGUGACUGGAGCGGCAUGAAAAGCAAAUGUAGGCAUAAGUAACGAUAAUGGGGGCGAGAACCCCCCACGCCGCAAGACCAAGGAUUCCCCGGCAAUGUCAAUCAGCCGGGGGUCAGCCGGCCUCUAAGGCUCACCCGAAAGGGGAUGCCGACGAGAAACGGGUUAACAUUCCCGUGCUUCUCGUCACCGUGACGCGGUGACGGGGUGAUGAAUGGACCGCGCGCUGACGGAAUAGCGCGUUGAAGGCCGUACCCUAUGACGGUGGUAGUCAAGCACGCCACCGGAGGCGAGAGCCGAUAGUACCACGAGACUCCGGUCGAGUGGAUAGCGUCCAGGCAAUUUACCCCCGAGAAAACCCGCUAAACUUCAAGUGACGAGGAACCGUACUGUAAACGGACACACGUGGUCGGGUAGAACAUACCAAGGCGCUCGAGUGAUUCAUGGUCAAGGAACUAGGCAAAAUAGUCCUGUAACUUAGGGAAAAAGGACGCUCUAGUGAUAGAGCCGCAGAGUAAUGGCCCAGGCGACUGUUUACCAAAAACACAUGGCUAUGCCAAAUCGAAAGAUGACGUAUAUGGCCUGACACCUGCCCGGUGCCGGAAGGUUAAGAGGAGAGCUCAUCGGAAACGAGAAGGUUUGAAUUGAAGCCCCGGUAAACGGCGGCCGUAACUAUAACGGUCCUAAGGUAGCGAAAUUCCUUGUCGGGUAAGUUCCGACCUG
RNAcentral lists this ribosomal RNA (1974 nucleotides) under human gut metagenome. RNAcentral describes it as "bacterial LSU rRNA". It matches the Rfam family "Bacterial large subunit ribosomal RNA", at positions 1 to 1990 of the family's 2925-position model. The record is from RNAcentral.